Xiphophorus maculatus (southern platyfish) is the source of this 2011-nucleotide long non-coding RNA. RefSeq lists it as uncharacterized. The record is from RefSeq and is a predicted model, not a curated record. The transcript is spliced from 3 exons. NCBI's taxonomy places the organism in Eukaryota, Metazoa, Chordata, Actinopteri, Cyprinodontiformes, Poeciliidae.
CAAAACAAAUUCUUUUUGGAGGUAGAGGUGAGAAGCUACAAUAAGAAAAAUAAACAGCAUUUCAAGAGGAAAUUUGAAACUAAAGUAUCAAUCUUAUCACAGUUUAUUGGUCCAAUACUGAUAUCAAUGGGGUAUCAAUAUUACCAGUGUCUUGGAUCGAUCUGCCCAGCUUUAGUAUUAAAAAUUAUACUGAAAUACUGAGCAGCUGAUCACAAAAUCUGAUUUAGCAUAUUAAAAUGUCGUCAGAUGGACAAAAAUAUACAAUUAUGAGCAAUUUCUGUUUCUUGAGACAGUGAACAGGGUAAAGUACUUUUAAUGACAAUAUGUGGCGUUUACUGUAAAUUCACUUAUCCUAAAAAUAACACAGCAGGCUCAGCAGAUAGAAAAUAUGAACACAGCUUGCGUGUACAAACAAGAUGUCUCACUUUACCAUAAACUGUGGGCGUAUGUCUGUAUCUGGUGUACUGUUUUUUUAAUUGAAAUACAUUUAUUUUCAUUCAGGGAAGUUACUUGCAUUGGCAGAGCAUCCAGAAAUUUUACUCAAGUAAAAUACUUGCUGAGAAUACUGCUUAAGUAAAGUAAGAGUACAACAUGACAAAACUACUAAGAAAAGUAUUUUUUGUGUCUGAAAAGUGACUCAAGUAAAUGGAACUGUUUAAGUGUAAGUGGUUUCUACUCACCUCUGCUUUAAACAACUCUCAGCAGCAUUAUGCAAACGAUGUUUCAUUAACUUUUCAAAGGUCAUCACUCUAAAAUGCUAUACCUAUUUUUAUUUAAAUUAGGUUUGUAUUCUUUACUCAAGUCUCACUAACUUGUUUAUUCAACUCUAGUAAUGUGAGUAAUGUACAUGUUUGGCCGGUGUCCGCCCUGACUUCGAAGCUGUUUAUUUUAUUUAGAUUUUUUGCUUUUGUUUUUUACCUCUGAGUGGUGAACUUUCUAUUAUCCGUAUGUUUAUUUGAUAUGGAAAAGGCCCAUGCACUUCCAUCAUAUGUGCCCUCUGUCCACCGCACUUUUUCAGCCGUUACAACGGUUAAUCCGUUGACAAAAUGUAGUAAAGUGUUUUUCCGCCUUUAAGUGCAACAUUAGCGUUAAGAUGCUCGCACCAGUGGGUUCGGACCGGAGACGUGUUGCUGUGCAGAGGUGCCCACCGGUGUGUUAGAAUCAUGGCACAAAACCAUGACAGACAUAUUAAAAGGCAAAAAUCUUCUUUUUUUUUCUAAACAAACCGAGUAAGUAGAGUAAUGCUGUUGGACGCAAUGCUGGCUUGUUAACAACAAUAAGUCACGUUAAGCUAGUUAAUAGGCUGCCCAUUGUGUUGUUUUUCUUCCGAGCUGGGUAGUAGAGGUUACAUUUACUUGAAUAACUUUUUGGGGGAGGGGCACUGCACUUUUCACUUCUACUGCUAGGAGUAGUAAUAUGAUGAACUAUUGAUACUUAUGAUUGGGUAGACUGGUUUUGCAUAAAGAAAUAGACUAAAGUGAUUGGAAACAUUAGAUUCUUAGACUUCUGCAACAUCUGAGCAAAUGUUUAUGCAAAUCUGAGCUUGCUCAGCAUUUUCUACAUGUCAGUGUUGACAUCAUUCAUUUUUUUUGUAUUAAUAAACAAAAUGGGUACUUUGUUUGAAAGUUAUGCGCUUGUUUAUGCAUUUAUAUUGAAUAAAAUGCCUGUUUACUGUGCCACCCCAAAAUCAACAAAACUCCUCCGCAGCCGGGCUUGAUUGUUACUGUUUGUGCAGAGUCCACCAGAACCAGAGUGGAGGGUGGGAUCUCUGUGCUGCAUUCAAGUCUGAAAAGGAGUCGUUGACAACGCACUUCCCGAGAUUCUUGUCCAGUUUGAAAGAAAGACCAGUGAUGUUGUUGCCUUGACGACUGCUAUCCUGCGAUGUCUCUCUGUUUUCCUCGAGGACGAAGAAAGAGUUCUACAAUGUCUCUGGAUUCAGAUGCCAUGGCAGACCUCAUCCAGGUUCCUGUGGGGUUAUUGAGUGUUAUGUUAUGCUAAGUAUAUAAUUUUG